AGAGGAGCCCAGCAUUGAAUUCCAGCUGACCCCAUUCAGUGAUCAGCCCUGAACACAGACCACUCACCAUGGAGUUUGGGCUGAGCUGGCUUUUCCUUGUUGCUAUUUUUAAAGGUGUCCAGUGUCAGGUACAGCUGGUGGAGUCUGGGGGAGGCUUGGUGCAGCCUGGAGGGGCUCUGAAACUCUCCUGUGCAGCCUCUGGAUUCACAGUCAGUAGCUACUGGAUGAACUGGGUCCGCCAGGCUCCAGGAAAGGGGCUAGAGUGGGUUGCAACAAUUAGUGGUGGUAGCACAUACUACCUGGACUCUGUGAAAGGCCGAUUCACCAUCUCUACAGACAAUAACAAGAACCAGCUGUAUCUGCAAAUGAGCAGCCUGAGAGCCGAGGACACAGCUGUGUAUUAUUGUGCAAGGGACACAGUGAGAAGGCUUCAGUGUGAGCCCAGACAUAAACCACUCUGCAGUUCUAUUCGUGACCAGCAGGGGGCAGUCUGCACACACUGA
Molecule: non-coding RNA, 503 nt
Organism: Castor canadensis (American beaver)
Lineage: Eukaryota; Metazoa; Chordata; Mammalia; Rodentia; Castoridae
Source: the annotation of a RefSeq genome assembly